Molecule: non-coding RNA, 3624 nt
Organism: Microcebus murinus (gray mouse lemur)
Lineage: Eukaryota; Metazoa; Chordata; Mammalia; Primates; Cheirogaleidae
Source: RefSeq, a predicted model, not a curated record
AUGAAUGUUCACAGGCACUCUGGUCAUCUUCAACCUUCUCCCUGGGUGGCAUGCUGCCCAGAACAUCCAGGCUUUGGGGUCACACAGACCACCCGGAACCCACUGAACACCUGCAGCUCCUGCAGUCUGGGCUGGAGUUGGGAAGUGUCUGUGUGGAAAAGGGCAGGAUGAGACCUGGGGUUUGAAGACUCCUGGGGAGGACAAAGGUGCAUGGUGGAUGCACAAGCAGUUUGGCACCUGCUGUCCCUGCUUGGGUCUAUGGAGGCGGGAAGAGUCCCAGUGAAGCUUAGAGCCUGGUGCCAUGUCCACAAGCAGUGCCCGGCUCACUGGUGGCAGAAGCCUCUUGCUUUGUGUUUUGAGAGAGUCUCUCCAGCAGCUAGGGAGCCCACCAACUUUCGGAGGUGCAAAGGAGAGAGAAAGAAACCACUCUGUCCACCCUUCUCGCAGGACUCCAAGCCUCUCAGGGGUUCGUCUUUGCUGAUAUGUUCUUCUUGUUCUGCACUGACACUUCUUCCCAUGAAGUCUCCUGAAGUUUCUGGCACACAUCCUUCAGACUCACAUUUGAUCUAUGUGUAUAUGUGUGUUUGUUUUCUCUCCUUCAUCUAAAACUUCUUCCUGCUGAGAUGCUCUGGCAGCUGGUACCUAUGGUCAGCCAUCUUGCCAGAAGUCCACUGUUUAUAUUAUUGAUGUCACAAAUUACAUCUUUAUAUAUUCUGUACCCAUUAAUAUAGACUUAUGGUUAUUUUAUGGCUUGUCUUUUACUUGCUAUGACAGAAUAAAAACUGGUGCGAAAAACCAGAAUUGCAAUAAUACAGGUUAUUUGGGUUUCCACAUGUAUAUUUUUUACCUAGGAACUCUAUAUUUUCCUAUUAUUUCCAGUCACUGUCAAGCAAGAAACAAAAGAGAAGAAACCACAUUUCUACCUCUUUGAGUGUCAUAAUAAUCACAGAAUGCUACAUAGCCCCUUCUUCCUGUCUAAAAAUAUUCCAAAAAUAAUCACUGUUGCUAAAGUAACUUCACCAGCUGUAAAAUUUAUUGAUAAAGUUCCUCCCAAUAAUUUAAUGGUUAUGAAUACAUUAUGUUUCAGAUAGCAUCUAUAGGUCUUUUCUUUGACAAAUAUAAUUUCUGAGCAUGCAACUAUCUGUCUUUCAGGUUCUACUUUGAUUGCCUAUUCUGAGACAGUUGAACUACCAAGGAAAUCUUGAUCUUUAGUGGCAGCCACAAGAGGAGACCCUAAUAGUGUGUUCCUGGGAUAAGCUGAAUUUAUAUUCUCAACCUGCCUAAACUAGUCUGAUCAAAACCUGAACUUCCUAAGUUUCAUAUGCUCAGUUGAGGGCAUUGUUUAAUAUUUAACCAUAUCAUACCAGCAAGGUGGUGCUGUAGAGAAAUAUCAGAUAUGUGUCAUCAUUGGUUGUUUUAUUUGAAUUGCAACACACUCUAGCAGGCUGCUGAUCACAGCUACCAUGCCUGCAUUUCACCUCUCUUCAAGGUCUGCAACCUGGAAAAUUUUCGACUUAGCUCUUGGACACCGAAAACAUGUGGGUCCAAGGGCCAGAUGCAUAAUCUGAGAGUGAAAGGGUCUUGCCUAUGGUCAAGUGAGUGAAUGAUAUAUUUGCAGUGGAUCCUUGGAGUCUAAACUCAUGUGAUUAUUUCAUUCCAACAAUACUGUUCCAGUUGUCUUUUCAUUUUCUCCUAACCUCAUGUCUGGUCUGAUCUGGCUAUUCCCAUCUUUCAUUCUUAGCCUGCCUUCCACAACAUCCUCUUUCAUAAGUCACACUGUGGCUCAGAGACCCUCUGUGCCCCUUGACUCCAUGCUUUCAAUGAAUGCUUACACUUCAUUUACAAAGCUGUCCUGGGAGAAGCUAAUCAGGCCUGGGCCUUGUCCAUUUGGCAACACUUUCUUCUGACAUCCAUUUUCCACUACUGAUGAUGAUCCCUGAUUUAAAUGAGCUGACGCAGAAGGUCAAGUAUAACCCUAGCUGACCUUGUAGAGAGCAAUCUAACUGCCACCUGCUCCUUCCAGGUCUGUCAGUCACCCAUCCGAACAUGUCCCCCUGCUUGAACCCAGGAAUCCUGCUUUUUUCUCCCUGAGGGGCUUUUGCCUGGAGGAAUGUGCUGGGCUACAUGGAGAGUCCUGCAAGCUAUUAAGAGUGGCUUAUGGAAGGCUCUGGAACAGGUUUCAAUGCAGCAUCACAGCUAGCAGGUCAGGAGGGAAUGGCUAUGCCUAGAAAGACCCUAACUGUCAUCCAGUUUUAGAAGUUCAUAUUCCUAAGCUAUUUUGCUAGGCAUGGUGCUCGCUGGGGGAGAAAUACAACAGUCUUACCUCUAUCAAGUUUCCAAUGCUGUAUGUAUAAAUCCAUUCUCCUGAGAGAGUUGAGGUUAUAUACUCCAGGCAAAAAGGGACAAGGAAGAAGAAAAUUAACAUUCAGUUAUGCAUGUAUUGUAGCACAUGCUUGUGGUGCCCUACACACAUCCCUGAGAGGGUUUCCAAGCUGAGGCCUUCCCAUGCCUCAGUGACUGAGGACACUCUCUGCCCACUGGCAUGUGCUUGGCUCACUGAAGGAUGGGCAGAGAGAGCCACCUAGUUAAUUCCCAAAGGAGCAAUCCUUCACAAACAAAGAGUGAAUAUUGGUGGGAGAGCAGCCCAGCAUCCCUGCGCUUCAACCCAAUUCCGCUGCACAUUCCACAUAGUCAAUGACAAGUGGGAGGGUUCCAGCUGCCUAUAGCAGUGACCUGCUCAUUAACAUACACGUUCCUACGUUCCUUGAGUCAAAGCCCCAUCCUCUGAAAAUGCUUCCUGGAAUUCACUCCCAAAUAACAAUAUAUAUUAUCCAAAUAUUAAUCACAGGGUUGCUUUCAGGUAAAACUCAAACUAAGAGCUCUGGGGAUUUUACAUUCACUAUGUCUGUUACUUUUCACGCAAACCAUGAAGUAUGCAGCAAACCCUUUGUCAGAUGAAGAUGCUGAGGUUGAAAGAGGUUAAACAGGUUCAUUAGAAUCACACAGCAAAUAAGGUUAAAGUCAGGAUUUGAGAUUAUGCCUGUGUGGCUGGUAAACCUGUCUGAUUUCUACCAUUUGAGGUUACUUCAGAUAAAACCCUGGUUUGGGUCUCAGCACACCUACUUUUUGGGUCAAGUCUUCCUUCUCCUUGAUGUGUGACCUUGGGGAGACUGAUGACCGAUAGAGGUUAUUUCUAUAUGUCCAUUUAAAUGUUGAUCAGUGAAACCAAUUUGCUGGUCAAAAACUCCAGCUUAUGGACAGAGGUGAUCUCAGCUGAACAAACCCCCUGGCAUUCUACUUCCCCCUGAAAUCAGGUGCAGUUAGAGGAAUUUCAGCAAAGCAGGAAUGUUAUAAUAUCCACGUUGUCUGAGGCUUUGGUGGCUGAGGAGUGCAUUCCUGGAAAAGUCCUGCCCAAAUUCAGGCAAAGCAACUAAGGAGGUUACUGCAACAAGGAGAACGAGAAGGUACAGGCUUUGUUGUCCUUUUGCAACACACUCAUCUCAACACACUCAUCCUUCGUCUUUUCAUGCAUUAAUGUCCUGUUUCAUGAAUUCCCUUCCACAAGGUCUUCUAGAGUUUCACUGACAUUUUAAGAUUUCUCAUUUGCUAAUUCGUUUUUUUUUU